UACGUAGGGUGCGAGCGUUAAUCGGAAUUACUGGGCGUAAAGCGUGCGCAGGCGGUUUUGUAAGCCAGAUGUGAAAGCCCCGGGCUUAACCUGGGAAUGGCAUUUGGGACUGCAAGGCUUGAGUGCGGCAGAGGAGACUGGAAUUCCUGGUGUAGCAGUGAAAUGCGUAGAUAUCAGGAAGAACACCCGUGGCGAAAGCGGCUCUCUGGAACGGUACUGACGCUGAGACGCGAAAGCGUGGGGAGCGAACAGG
Molecule: ribosomal RNA, 253 nt
Filed under: uncultured bacterium
Lineage: Bacteria
Description: partial 16S ribosomal RNA
Rfam family: Bacterial small subunit ribosomal RNA
Source: RNAcentral